RNAcentral lists this microRNA precursor (86 nucleotides) under Chlorocebus sabaeus (green monkey). RNAcentral's name for it is "miRNA (ENSCSAG00000026716.1)". The record is from RNAcentral. Lineage: Eukaryota; Metazoa; Chordata; Mammalia; Primates; Cercopithecidae.
CUGGGAUUACAGGCUUGAGCCACCGCGCCCGGCUCUAUUUCUUUAAAACUUGGCCGGGUGCGGUGGCUCACGCCUGUAAUCCCAGC